CCUACGGGAGGCAGCAGUGGGGGAUAUUGCACAAUGGGGGGAACCCUGAUGCAGCGACGCCGCGUGGGUGAAGGAGUGCUUCGGCAUGUAAAGCCCUAUCGGCAGGGAAGAAGCAAGACGGGAACGGACGAAGAAGCCCAGGCUAACUACGUGCCAGCAGCCGCGGUAAUAAGGAGGGGGCGAGCGUUCGCCGGAUUCACUGGGUGGAAAGGGAGGGGAGACGGCAAGGCAAGCAAGGGGGGCAAGCCCGGGGCUCAACCCCGGGACUGCCCUUGCAACUGCCUGGCUGGGGUGCGGGAGGGGCCGUCGGAAUUCCUUGUGUAGCGGUGAAAUGCGUCGAUAUCAGGAGGAACACCAGCGGCGCAGGCGGCCUGCUGGACCGCGACUGCCGUUGAGGCUCGACAGCGUGGGGAGCGAACAGGAUUAGCUACCCUAGUAGUC
RNAcentral lists this ribosomal RNA (441 nucleotides) under uncultured bacterium. Its description in RNAcentral is "partial 16S ribosomal RNA". It matches the Rfam family "Bacterial small subunit ribosomal RNA", at positions 338 to 795 of the family's 1533-position model. The record is from RNAcentral.